Long non-coding RNA from Diachasmimorpha longicaudata, 4563 nucleotides. RefSeq lists it as uncharacterized. The transcript is spliced from 3 exons. The record is from RefSeq and is a predicted model, not a curated record. Lineage: Eukaryota; Metazoa; Arthropoda; Insecta; Hymenoptera; Braconidae.
UGCCAGUUGGAUGUGGGAAUCAAUGCUUAGAAGUGGAUGUCUUUGAUCUUCCGAGAUGUUGAAUGGUCACGCUGCAAAGUUUGAAUUUUUUUCCUGAUCGAGAGCAGCGAUCAUUGAUCACGGCCGACCAUGAAUAAGGGUUCAGAUUGAUGUAUGUUGACCUUAGCUCUGGAACAACAGGAAGCAAAAAUAGCGUAAGCAAAAUUAUAUUUGGAGGAUCGAAAGGUAAAUUGUGUUUGCUUUGGCAUCUGGGCGUCGACUUUUUUCGGAAAAUAUUUUCCAUUGAAUACAUCGAUCGAGUCAGCUAAAAAUUGAUAGAUAGCUCUAUAGAAAUCCACUAGAGUAUUAUCUCGGCUCAUCGUGAAAGCAUCGUCGCGUGGUCCCACGAUGAUUGAUAGACGUUCGGAAUAUUUCAUGGAAGGGAAAGGGAAGAGAGAAUAGUCGGACAUUACGUCAUAGAAAAGCCUCCCGGGAAGUUGUCAGCAGCUCUGUCGCGUUGCAGAGAAAGCGGAGGAGGUUUCCGCCUCCCGUUUUUUCCUGCAGCUGUCGACGAAUUUUUAUUGAAAAUAAAAUUCAAAAACAAUAUCGUAAAUUGAAAAAAAAAAUCUCAAGCACCUGAAGAAUUCAAUGAGAUUAAGUUCAAUGAAAUGAGGGAAUAAUUCUUCUCUUCAAAUAUUUCUUUUAUUGUUUUGGUUUGAUUAACACAACUGUUUAGAGAAUUUAGACUUCAUGGAUUUUCGAUAUACAUGAUAAUCUAUUCAGUGGAGUUGUCACAAUUUCGUUGGAUCGUUCAUGACUGAACGAAUGAAGAAUAUGAGUCCCGCCCUUCAAAUGAAAAAUUCCAUAAUUUAUAUAAUACAAUUGAUAAUACAGUAAUAAUUCUUUUCCCCCGCGACUGGUACAAUAUUAGAAAUAUCACAACAUUAAUAUCUAUCUCACACGGAUAUAAAUAAGAAAAAAAAACCAGUUAAUGUUCUUCAGGCGAGAUGAUCAUAGCUGAGAUGUUCCAAUCGAGUGAAAAUAGCUGAGGAAACGGUUCAAUUGAUGGCUUUUGAAAAAUCAAGUUAAAGAAAAUGCCUUAAUUUUAUAUUCCUACAAAUUUGUAUAAAAAAAUUCAUUCACAUUUAUUAUUCGCUGAUGCUUUUACAUACGCCAUUAGCUGUUACACAAUCGAAUAAAUUGAGGUUUUUAUUGUUAAAUUAUUAGUUCAUGGUGAAUCAAUAGUUGAGGCACUGAAGCCUGGCAAAAUAUUCUGUUAAAUUUUUUGAAGAACGAAAGCACUUUAUUUUCUGUUUAUUUGAAAUAUAAUUUUAUCACUUUAAUACCAUUAAGCAGUUCAGUCAUUUUAUAUAAAAUAAUACUCAAACCGAGCUUAGAAUAAACUUUUCCAUCAUGGGUCCUCCGUUUUCAAUUGAAAAAAACAUUCUUAUGCAGCUGAGAGAUUCAGUAGUACGCAAAGUAAUGGAAUAAGUGAAAAGAGUAAAUCACUUGAUUAUUGCUGUCAAUAAAUCAAAAUAUAUUUCUUUGCUGCUGAUAUACCGGAAAUGAUGGUCAAUCAAGUGACUAAUGAAGAAGCUUUUGAUCAGAAUUUUUUUGACACAUUUCCAGUGACGAGACAUUCACUUAUCCCAUUUUGUCUCACUAUCAGAACCAUUUUUGGCAAGUCUAAUCUCAACAGAAGCUGUCUAAAAUCUCUAAAAUAAUUUUCCAAUGUCCCCACCUUCCUUAAUUUAAAAUGCCCCAGCGAAUUCAUUAAUGCAUCAAUUCCUCAUAAUUUAGCUAUGGCAAUGGGAAGAAAACCUCGAUAAACGAUAAUAAAGGAUUAAUCUGGCACACAAGCAUGUGGAAUUCAACUUUGUCGUACGAAAAAGAAAAUCUUAUGACAUGUAAUUAUAAUUUACACUCCUCGACUCAUGAUGCAUUUAUGAUGUAUGAAACGUGGAUUUUCAUUCACUAGAUUUCAGGAAACUUCCGUUUGUAGUAUUUCUUUUUGCUGCCAUUUUCUGUUUUUUUUUGUUAUUCCUUUUUGAUUAUGGAAAGAGAACAGUAUGUAUGAUCGGCCAUUUAGCUACAUAACAAUUACUAGGCUAGUAUAUACAAAUGACUAUACUAUACAGGGGGCUUGCACCAAUCCAAUGCAGUCAGACGUAUUAUAACUGUACAUACAUAUACAAUAGAUUUUUUUAAAUUCACAGCGGAGGCGUAUUUGGAGUUUUUCAGGGGUUUUAUUACGUUAUUUCAUGUAUUUUUACCUGCGGUUGCUUGUGUUGCUAGAAUUUGAUUCUGGGCUAGAACUUGUGAUCCUUAAUUAUUGAAUUCAGAGGUGGAGAGAUCAAACGAUCGAUCAAAAGCUUCGAAACUUCGAAAUAAAAAAUAUUCGAGAUUGGCGGAAUUCUAGGGAAAACGUAAUUGUAAAUGACCUUUGAAAAAUUGUCAAUCAGUCGAUGCCGGUUAUCAACGGAAUAUUGAAAUUAUGGGAGAAUACUGCACAAGAUUUAAUACUCACAAUAAAAAUAAGGGAAAAUCACGGUAAAAAUAAUUGUGGCAUUGGUGCAAGCUCAGCAAUUCUUAAUGAUAAUCAUUAACAUUUACGAUUUUAAUUCCAUAAUUCAUCAGCUUCAUGAAUAAUCUUCACUAAACAAAUCGACAGUGGAACGCGUGUUUGUGCAGUCGCUUCUCAUGUAAAAAAAGGAAGAAAAUAUAUUUUCCCGCUUCGCCUAUUCACGAUUUGUCCCAUAAUUCCGCAUUUCGGUAUUUAGAAUUUCAACUCUUCAAUUACAACUAAUACGAUGCAGGGAAUGCAAUUAAUACCAACUAAUGAAAAUAAUUAAGUUUUCUUUAAUUUAACUUCCAUUCUUGUCUCCGCAAUGAACGUUUGACUUUAUAAUUAAUGAAAAUAAUUCAGCUGAGAAGUCUUCGUCUCGCGUGUGCGUGGAUCCAGCAAAAAUGGAGGAUCUAUUUUUUUUUAAUAUUUUAAUUUAUUUUUUCUAUGGAUUAAAAACAAAAUUCCGGUGAUGGCGCACCAUCGUCUCAUGCGUGAACAAAAUUACAAUAAAUCCUAGUGAACUGGAGAUAAAAUCAUAAUGAACUUCUAGUUUUUGGCCGAUUUUAUUAAAGAAUUUUGCCGCUCAUUUCGUAGAAAUUAUUUAACAGGAGUUAUUUUGUAUAAAAAACGGCAGAGUUUUAUUUUUUAUGGAGUUUUAUCUAUAGGAAUUAGUUAAGUUCAUAUUUUCUACAGAAUAUCGAUUUUUGCAAUAAAAUCGACUAAAAAUCAAGAGCUAUUCGAUAGAAUUUUCCAGCCAAUUCGCAGGAUUUGUCAAUUGAAUUUUUUCACACGCGUUUUAAUCGAUAUUUUACUAUACUUCAUCAUCAUAUUUGUACGUAAAUUCCGUUUGGUUUUACUACCGUGGCUCAUAGGCCUCGUACACAAGUUCUGGUACUAAGGCAAGUGCAAACGUCGUUGAUGUCGAUUGUCGCGAAUACUGUCGACGUGACGAUGUUAUUUCGUGUUACCUGUUAUUUUCUUCCAUAACCACUUGUUUAAAUACACCAGCGGGCAUCUGGCUCUUCACUUCGUGACUACCUAAUGCUGUUGUGCCGUCUUUUGCGAUAAAUAGUUGUAAUCCAGAUGCUGGAAAAAACAUAAUUAAUCAUUAAUUGAAAUGUCUGGAAAAAAAAUGUUAAAAAACAACUGAAUGUACACUUACUCUCAGCGCUCUCCAAAUCAGACUGUUCGAGAUUCGUUGCCUUCAACAACUCGUCGAUGAGUGAAUCUGGAUUAGGACGUGUGACUUCAACUCGACACUGCACAGCAUUAUUACCAGAAUCCUCAGCCUUUUUUCGUCUCUCCAGUGCAGCCUUUGCCCGAUCCAGGGAGCCUGUUUCACUCAGACCAGAACCACCUGACGGAUUCCUAAUGUAGAAAUGAAAAUACUUCUCGUGAGGCCCAGCUUUUGUAAUCAACUGUGGAUUAGAGUAUUAGCUAUCCUAUGCUCGAUAACAACCACAAAAAACUGGAAUUUUUAGGUCGUUAUUCUCGUGUUUAUGAAAUGAGAGGUCUUUGCUAAUUCUAUAAUAGUUUUCGACGAGUUUGUGACUCAUUCAUGCAUGAAAAAUUUUAUUAAUCAUUAAAAUCAGGGAAGCUAUACGUUUUUAACAAUAAAAUGAAUCCAUUUAACUCUAGAGUUUUUUUCUGAAUAUCUCUAGAUGGUGGUUGAUUGUUAAAGUAGGAUAAAUAAUAUUUCUGGCACUUGAUCAUCGAGCAGAAUAGAUUCAUGUCCCACACAUAAUCUAAUUAAUUUUCUUAACGUCCCCUAUUUUUCAUGUACAAAGAGACACUCUAUAUUGUUAUCCUUCUAAAUCAAGAACGAGGUAAAAAAUAAUUAACUUCUAAUGAGAUGCAGGUGUACUACUAAUGCAUGAAGUUCCACAUGCGGGAGGAUAGAAAAAAAAUGUGAUGAAGGCAAAUGAAAAAAUGGAGAGAAACCAUUUCCACUGGAGUAUCCCUCAUAAAAAUAACACGAACGCACAAAAGUAAUGGAUCGAAAGUGUGGUACUGACGAC